Molecule: ribosomal RNA, 174 nt
Filed under: Triticum aestivum (bread wheat)
Lineage: Eukaryota; Viridiplantae; Streptophyta; Magnoliopsida; Poales; Poaceae
Description: partial small subunit ribosomal RNA
Source: RNAcentral
AUGGCCUCGCUGACCAUGCUCGUGUCAUGGACCAUAUGGAAUGAAAGAAAUGCUCGGGUUUUCCGGCAUAAGAGCGCACCACUGCCAGUCUUGCUCACUACGAUCACUAACGAGGCAAAUCUUUGGGUCACCACCGGAGCAAAGAAACUAGGGUCUAUUAUUGUGUGUGAGUAA